This 253-nucleotide ribosomal RNA is filed under the name uncultured bacterium. RNAcentral's name for it is "partial 16S ribosomal RNA". It matches the Rfam family "Bacterial small subunit ribosomal RNA", at positions 524 to 776 of the family's 1533-position model. The record is from RNAcentral.
UACGAAGGGGGCUAGCGUUGUUCGGAAUUACUGGGCGUAAAGCGCACGUAGGCGGGUCUUUAAGUCAGGGGUGAAAUCCUGGAGCUCAACUCCAGAACUGCCUUUGAUACUGAGGAUCUUGAGUUCGGGAGAGGUGAGUGGAACUGCGAGUGUAGAGGUGAAAUUCGUAGAUAUUCGCAAGAACACCAGUGGCGAAGGCGGCUCACUGGCCCGGUACUGACGCUGAGGUGCGAAAGCGUGGGGAGCAAACAGG